This 492-nucleotide ribosomal RNA is filed under the name uncultured bacterium. RNAcentral describes it as "partial 16S ribosomal RNA". It matches the Rfam family "Bacterial small subunit ribosomal RNA", at positions 29 to 507 of the family's 1533-position model. The record is from RNAcentral.
AGUGAACGCUGGCGGUAGGCCUAACACAUGCAAGUCGAACGGCAGCACAGUAAGAGCUUGCUCUUACGGGUGGCGAGUGUCGGACGGGUGAGGUAUACAUCGGAAUCUACUUUUUCGUGGGGGAUAACGUAGGGAAACUUACGCUAAUACCGCAUACGACCUACGGGUGAAAGCAGGGGAUCUUCGGACCUUGCGCGUUUGAAUGAGCCGAUGUCGGAUUAGCUAGUUGGCGGGGUAAAGGCCCACCAAGGCGACGAUCCGUAGCUGGUCUGAGAGGAUGAUCAGCCACACUGGAACUGAGACACGGUCCAGACUCCUACGGGAGGCAGCAGUGGGGAAUAUUGGACAAUGGGCGCAAGCCUGAUCCAGCCAUACCGCGUGGGUGAAGAAGGCCUUCGGGUUGUAAAGCCCUUUUGUUGGGAAAGAAAAGCAGCAGGUUAAUACCCCGCUGUUCUGACGGUACCCAAAGAAUAAGCACCGGCUAACUUCGUG